Callorhinchus milii (elephant shark) is the source of this 3093-nucleotide long non-coding RNA. RefSeq lists it as uncharacterized. The record is from RefSeq and is a predicted model, not a curated record. NCBI's taxonomy places the organism in Eukaryota, Metazoa, Chordata, Chondrichthyes, Chimaeriformes, Callorhinchidae. The transcript has 3 exons.
UGUGGAGGGCACUAUAUAAGUACAAGUUGCUGUUGUUGUUGUGCUAUUGCUUUUCCAGUAUGAUUGCUGCUCCUGUGGCUGUUUCAUGUCCAUUGGGAUGCAAUAGUCUCUACCCCCUACUAAUUUUCCAACACCAGAGAGGUAGUAAGGGGAACUUCAAUCUGCAGUCAAUGGAAUCUAUCAUGUGAAUGUCAUUACCAGCAGCUUUAUUUUCAUUCUACGUUUGUGAUGCAAUUUCUGAUUUUAAGUACCUUAAAAAAAUUAUGAUGGUAGCAAUUGACAUGUGAUAGAGGUGACUGUCCCACAUUUGAGAAUUUUAAAAGAAUCAAAACUCAAUAAACAAAUUGGCAUGAGGUGUUACUGUUAAGAACAUUGAAGAGUAGCUGUCUCUGUGUAAAGUACUUUGUGGGGUUAUUUCUGUAUAUAAUAGGAGUCUGUGGGUGAGUUUCACCCCUGGGAUAGGGUUUCUGGUUAUGUUCCUGCCACCGGUGGAGUCUGUACGUAAUUGCCUGUCUGUGAUGGAGUAAGUAGGUCUGUCGCUGCCUGUGAUGGAGCCUGUUGCUGUUGUCUGCAAAGGGGUAUGUAAGUAAUUGCAUGCCCAUGAUAGACUGCAAUUAAUUGUUUACCUGUGAGGAUCUGUGGGAAUGUUACUGUCUGUAAUGGAAUCAGUGGGUUCUUUCCUGUGAUGAAAUGUUGUAAGUCCGUGCCUCUGAUGGAGUGUGCAGUAAGUUCCUGCCUGUUAUGAGGGUCAGUGUGUCGGCUUCUGCCAAUGAAGGGCUCCGAUGGCAAGUUUUAGUCUGUGAGGGCCCUGUAGAUUUGUUGCUGCCUAUGAUGGUCAGUGGGUCAUUGCUGUCAUUGGGUAAUUGCCUGUUUUCAAUGGAUUGUCGAAGUUGGUCCAGUUGUGAUUGAUCUUGUAAUUCAGUGCCAGCAUGUGAUUGACUCUGAAGCUGGUAGCCAAACUGUGAUAGCCUCAGGAGAUAGGUAUCAGGGUGUACUACGGUUUGAGACAAGGUGCCAGACUGAACUGAGCUCUGGAGAUCGGUGCCACCCUGUCAUUGAACGACUAUGCAGGGAAGUGCUUCACUGUGAGGUAAGUGCUUGACAAUGGGAACUAGCCUUUGAUGGACUCGGACGUUAAGUCUUUGGAGAUGUGUGGAACUAGCCUAUGAUGGAAUGUGUGGUGGACUUUGGGGAUAGGUGCCAGCCCAUGAUGAACUUUGGAGGUAAGCACUUCUCUGUGAAGGACUUUACUAACCACUGAUGGAGUCUGGCGAUAGGUUAUAGUCAUGAUGAACUAUAGAACUGGAUAGCAGUCCAUGUGGAGUCUGAAGGUAAGUACCAAUCUCUGAUGAAAUCUGGAGGUAGGUGCUUGUCUGUGACGGGCUUUGUCAGGAUUUCUGCUAGUAGGUACCUGUAUGUGAUUAACUCUGUGGGGUCUAUUUGUUUCAUCCCUCAAUGACCAGGAAUUAAUUACCUAUCUGUGAAUGGAUAUUAUGUUAUUAUAUUAUGAACUAUGUUAUCAAAAUGUUGCAAUUUUAAUUUAGAAAGUUGCAUGAGGUAAAUAUUACUUAGAGUUAAUUCUUCAAGCUCUGAAUUGUCUUGAGAACGAAAUCAGCUCUUAGUUAAAUUAGUUAACUGUCAGCAUUUGCUAUUAACUGUGAAAUAUAGGCUCAGUGGAAAGAUCAUUCUGCUUUUUAGAAUAGCCCAGUGAAAGAGUACUUUCCAUGAAAUUCUUUGACGGUUUUAAUAGAUUUUCUUAUUAAAUGCGGACAAAUCGUGUUUGGCAUGGGUGGAGUACCUGCAUAGACGCAAGCACACCUACAUGUUUGGCAUGAAGUCAUGACAUAGCGAUUGCUGUGGAGAGGAUCUGGUGUGCCUGGGAAAAGUUGAGGAAGACGGUGAACAGUCUGAAGAAAGGUGCCAGGACUAAUUGGCUGAUAAUAAUGUCCAGAGGAGAACGGUGAUGGGAAGGGGAAUCAGUUACCCUCAAGCAGUUGUGCCCCUCCACAAGGAGAGGAUGGUGAACUUCACAAGUGAGGCAGUAAUGGGAAUUGCAGAGGUGAAUGUUGGAUUGGAACCGAAGCAGCCAGAGCCAGAGCUGAGACUGCUAAAUGUUCCAGCACAGCGUCUACAUCUGUGGACUUGCUUGAGGAAAGGGCACCAUACAUAGCAGCUUCCCAGGUGAAAAUAACACACACCUCAAUAUGAAGGAGCCUACACUACAGCAGGGACGAGCCCAGAGGUUGCACAAAGCUCUGCACAGCACAAGGGUAAUGUGGAUUGACUGCAGGGAAAGAAGAGGUGUGAGAGGACAAGCUGAGGAAGAAGAGGAAGUAGAUAUGUUUUAUCCCACUGACCUGCCAAAGAUCUUAUAGAAAGGCGAACUAGCAAGUUGUAGUGGAGGCCCAGUGAAAAGUGUGCACUGGAACCAAUAUUCACUGUGACUACUGAAGAAAGGUGAGGACAUCUAUGUGAUGCUGUGAGAUAUACAUUAGACCACACGGAGCAAAUUGAAAUCGACAGAAUUCCCGAUACCACCUAACAGUUGAGACAGUGGGAAGGGAAGAGAUGAGAUCUGCCCAUGAGGCCACUCUAUACCCGAUCCCCUCAGCUUCUUCCAUGGAUCAGGCAAGAUUUGGGCAGUGUCAGACUAUAAUGCAUGCAAUGCACAGCAACAAACUGAAGUUGUCUGUAAUGCAGCAAACAAACAAGCCUUUCUCUUCAGAAACUCUUUCAAUAAGCACAUUUCUCACCCUGCAAUGGUAACACAUUGAACCGCCUCUUCCAAUCUCCGGGUCCUAAGCAUCUGAAUGAACCAUAUUAUUGCAACACAAAGACACUGGAGACAUUUCCUGAAUACCACUAGUGGAGAAUAUGCCGUCACUUGUGCCACUCGUCUGCCGAAAACAUACAAAUAUAUUCGUCACAAUCUCAGAUCUGUCAGUCUUCAAAUUUGUGGCGUCUGAGUCAGUACUUUAUGGCUCUCGCCACAUGAAGACCAAUGACUUUUCUUUGAAGAACAGAGGCUGGAGUCAUAAGAACAUAAGAAGAUAGGAAAAGAGUCAAGCCUGUUUCACUAUUAUUAAUAAUAAU